GGUUAAGCGACUAAGCGUACACGGUGGAUGCCCUGGCAGUCAGAGGCGAUGAAGGACGUGCUAAUCUGCGAUAAGCGUCGGUAAGGUGAUAUGAAGCGUUAUAACCGGCGAUUUCCGAAUGGGGAAACCCAGUGUGAUUCGUCACACUAUCAUUAACUGAAUCCAUAGGUUAAUGAGGCGAACCGGGGGAACUGAAACAUCUAAGUACCCCGAGGAAAAGAAAUCAACCGAGAUUCCCCCAGUAGCGGCGAGCGAACGGGGAGGAGCCCAGAGCCUGAAUCAGUGUGUGUGUUAGUGGAAGCGUCUGGAAAGGCGCGCGAUACAGGGUGACAGCCCCGUACACAAAAAUGCACAUACUGUGAGCUCGAUGAGUAGGGCGGGACACGUGGUAUCCUGUCUGAAUAUGGGGGGACCAUCCUCCAAGGCUAAAUACUCCUGACUGACCGAUAGUGAACCAGUACCGUGAGGGAAAGGCGAAAAGAACCCCGGCGAGGGGAGUGAAAAAGAACCUGAAACCGUGUACGUACAAGCAGUGGGAGCCUCUUUUAUGGGGUGACUGCGUACCUUUUGUAUAAUGGGUCAGCGACUUAUAUUCUGUAGCAAGGUUAACCGAAUAGGGGAGCCGAAGGGAAACCGAGUCUUAACCGGGCGUUAAGUUGCAGGGUAUAGACCCGAAACCCGGUGAUCUAGCCAUGGGCAGGUUGAAGGUUGGGUAACACUAACUGGAGGACCGAACCGACUAAUGUUGAAAAAUUAGCGGAUGACUUGUGGCUGGGGGUGAAAGGCCAAUCAAACCGGGAGAUAGCUGGUUCUCCCCGAAAGCUAUUUAGGUAGCGCCUCGUGAAUUCAUCUCCGGGGGUAGAGCACUGUUUCGGCAAGGGGGUCAUCCCGACUUACCAACCCGAUGCAAACUGCGAAUACCGGAGAAUGUUAUCACGGGAGACACACGGCGGGUGCUAACGUCCGUCGUGAAGAGGGAAACAACCCAGACCGCCAGCUAAGGUCCCAAAGUCAUGGUUAAGUGGGAAACGAUGUGGGAAGGCCCAGACAGCCAGGAUGUUGGCUUAGAAGCAGCCAUCAUUUAAAGAAAGCGUAAUAGCUCACUGGUCGAGUCGGCCUGCGCGGAAGAUGUAACGGGGCUAAACCAUGCACCGAAGCUGCGGCAGCGACACUGUGUGUUGUUGGGUAGGGGAGCGUUCUGUAAGCCUGUGAAGGUGUACUGUGAGGUAUGCUGGAGGUAUCAGAAGUGCGAAUGCUGACAUAAGUAACGAUAAAGCGGGUGAAAAGCCCGCUCGCCGGAAGACCAAGGGUUCCUGUCCAACGUUAAUCGGGGCAGGGUGAGUCGACCCCUAAGGCGAGGCCGAAAGGCGUAGUCGAUGGGAAACAGGUUAAUAUUCCUGUACUUGGUGUUACUGCGAAGGGGGGACGGAGAAGGCUAUGUUGGCCGGGCGACGGUUGUCCCGGUUUAAGCGUGUAGGCUGGUUUUCCAGGCAAAUCCGGAAAAUCAAGGCUGAGGCGUGAUGACGAGGCACUACGGUGCUGAAGCAACAAAUGCCCUGCUUCCAGGAAAAGCCUCUAAGCAUCAGGUAACAUCAAAUCGUACCCCAAACCGACACAGGUGGUCAGGUAGAGAAUACCAAGGCGCUUGAGAGAACUCGGGUGAAGGAACUAGGCAAAAUGGUGCCGUAACUUCGGGAGAAGGCACGCUGAUAUGUAGGUGAAGUCCCUCGCGGAUGGAGCUGAAAUCAGUCGAAGAUACCAGCUGGCUGCAACUGUUUAUUAAAAACACAGCACUGUGCAAACACGAAAGUGGACGUAUACGGUGUGACGCCUGCCCGGUGCCGGAAGGUUAAUUGAUGGGGUCAGCGCAAGCGAAGCUCUUGAUCGAAGCCCCGGUAAACGGCGGCCGUAACUAUAACGGUCCUAAGGUAGCGAAAUUCCUUGUCGGGUAAGUUCCGACCUGCACGAAUGGCGUAAUGAUGGCCAGGCUGUCUCCACCCGAGACUCAGUGAAAUUGAACUCGCUGUGAAGAUGCAGUGUACCCGCGGCAAGACGGAAAGACCCCGUGAACCUUUACUAUAGCUUGACACUGAACAUUGAGCCUUGAUGUGUAGGAUAGGUGGGAGGCUUUGAAGUGUGGACGCCAGUCUGCAUGGAGCCGACCUUGAAAUACCACCCUUUAAUGUUUGAUGUUCUAACGUGGACCCGUGAUCCGGGUUGCGGACAGUGUCUGGUGGGUAGUUUGACUGGGGCGGUCUCCUCCUAAAGAGUAACGGAGGAGCACGAAGGUUGGCUAAUCCUGGUCGGACAUCAGGAGGUUAGUGCAAUGGCAUAAGCCAGCUUGACUGCGAGCGUGACGGCGCGAGCAGGUGCGAAAGCAGGUCAUAGUGAUCCGGUGGUUCUGAAUGGAAGGGCCAUCGCUCAACGGAUAAAAGGUACUCCGGGGAUAACAGGCUGAUACCGCCCAAGAGUUCAUAUCGACGGCGGUGUUUGGCACCUCGAUGUCGGCUCAUCACAUCCUGGGGCUGAAGUAGGUCCCAAGGGUAUGGCUGUUCGCCAUUUAAAGUGGUACGCGAGCUGGGUUUAGAACGUCGUGAGACAGUUCGGUCCCUAUCUGCCGUGGGCGCUGGAGAACUGAGGGGGGCUGCUCCUAGUACGAGAGGACCGGAGUGGACGCAUCACUGGUGUUCGGGUUGUCAUGCCAAUGGCACUGCCCGGUAGCUAAAUGCGGAAGAGAUAAGUGCUGAAAGCAUCUAAGCACGAAACUUGCCCCGAGAUGAGUUCUCCCUGACCCUUUAAGGGUCCUGAAGGAACGUUGAAGACGACGACGUUGAUAGGCCGGGUGUGUAAGCGCAGCGAUGCGUUGAGCUAACCGGUACUAAUGAACCGUGAGGCUUAACCUU
Molecule: ribosomal RNA, 2903 nt
Filed under: Escherichia coli O157:H7
Lineage: Bacteria; Pseudomonadati; Pseudomonadota; Gammaproteobacteria; Enterobacterales; Enterobacteriaceae
Description: 23S ribosomal RNA
Rfam family: Bacterial large subunit ribosomal RNA
Source: RNAcentral